CACGUAGGGGGCAAGCGUUGCCCGGAUUUAUUGGGCGUAAAGGGCGCGUAGGCGGCUCUGCACGUUCGUUGUGAAAUCGCCCGGCUCAACUGGGCGGGGUCAGCGGAUACGGCAGAGCUUGAGCAAGCUAGGGGGCAAUGGAAUUCCCGGUGUAGUGGUGGAAUGCGUAGAUAUCGGGAGGAACACCAGUGGCGAAGGCGGCUUCCUGGCCUGUAACUGACGCUGAGACGCGAAAGCGUGGGGAGCGAACCGG
RNAcentral lists this ribosomal RNA (253 nucleotides) under uncultured bacterium. RNAcentral describes it as "partial 16S ribosomal RNA". It matches the Rfam family "Bacterial small subunit ribosomal RNA", at positions 524 to 776 of the family's 1533-position model. The record is from RNAcentral.